GAAGCUUGGCAAGAAAUAUCGACUUCCUAUACCAUCCUGUGCUGUUAAAGAAAUAAGGAAAGCAUUUCCUUCACCUUCUGGCAUAUAUAAAGGCUUUGAAUAUGCACAGCAUUUAUAAAUACCUCUUGCAUUGCCUUGUAAAAGAAAUGUGUAUGCUUUGGUGCAUAUAGUAUAACAACUCGAU
Xenia sp. Carnegie-2017 is the source of this 184-nucleotide long non-coding RNA. RefSeq lists it as uncharacterized. NCBI's taxonomy places the organism in Eukaryota, Metazoa, Cnidaria, Anthozoa, Malacalcyonacea, Xeniidae. The transcript is spliced from 2 exons. The record is from RefSeq and is a predicted model, not a curated record.